GGGUCACCUGACGGCAGAGCCCAUGUUCCAGAAGCCAAGUCAUUCCUGCUGUGGCUGGCUCCCACUGGUUCUGCAAAUUGUCCUGGAAGGAAUGUGGGGUGCACUACUGUGGGCCCCCAAAGCCCCAGGGAUGCCCCCCAUCUUGUGCUCACGGGAAGAGGGAGCUGACUAGCCAGCAUCUCUCCCUCUCCUAGCCCAUUUGUCCCGGGUCUCGGCCAUCUGUCCUCUCGGCCCUCCUAGUCCCUUUCCUCCCUGCCUCACGCUUUCAGAGCCAGAAAACUAGGCCACCCCGGGCCUGAGUGUGUUACCAGUUCCUGCAUCCCACUCCGGGGCCCCAGAGCUUCCCCUUUCCAAGGGGGCAGAAGUACCACGCAGACUGAACCCGAAUUUUAUGCUGCAGUUCUGACCUCCUAUGGCAUGAAUUAAGCCAUUUCUGGUCUCGUGAGGGAGUGAAUAGACUUUGCGGGCAGGCAUAGGCUGGACCCAGUUCUGAGGUGACGAAAUAUACUAGUAAGUUGGCCACUGGGACCCUGGCUGGGAAAGUGGAUGGUCUCUGCCACCCGCCCCAUGGCUGAGGGAGGCAGCCAGCACCAGGGGUGUUGGGCAGCUGAAGGCACAGCUCCUGAGGUCUGCAUAGGGGGAGCCUGGCGGUCUGGGCAGCGGCUGAGUCAUCUCUGAAGCUGCCGUAGCUGGAACAUCCAGUGCCCAGUGGUGGACAGGAGCGUAUCUGGGCCACCCGCUGCCGGCCUGUGUCUGACGUGAUCUCCUGGAAGAGACUGUGUCCCUGGCACUGGUCUGCAGCAUGGAGGCCUUGCAGAGCUUGGCGGAGGUGGUGAGGAGGCCCCUGAAACCUGUGGCCCAGGACCAACACACAAGGACUUGGGUCUUAGAGGCACAGGAUAGGCACGCUGAGACUUGAGGAGGAGGAACGAUCUACAUGAGGUUGUUUGUGGCAAAGCCGAGGACAUGAACCCCAGUUCCUGCAUCCCAGCCUGGGGCCUCCCAGCUGCCUGAGAGAACUCCAUCUUCCUGACUGCUGAUUGGAUUCCAACAGCUCUGUUUUAAAGAAUAAUUUUAUUGUCCUAAUUAUGCAUCUCAAUAUUCUAAACCAUCUUACAUCUGCUUUGGAAGCAGGCAGAGUGAAGGUCGUCAAUGCAUAUGUAAAAUCAUUAUGUUCCUUUUUUUCCCCCUUGGGAAGAAAUAAAAGGAUGAAUCUGG
Molecule: long non-coding RNA, 1218 nt
Organism: Bubalus bubalis (water buffalo)
Lineage: Eukaryota; Metazoa; Chordata; Mammalia; Artiodactyla; Bovidae
Exons: 2
Source: RefSeq, a predicted model, not a curated record